UCUCAGGGAGCGAUUGUUCCUCUCAGUUCAUAGUAUCUCCCCUCCAAAUAGCUUUCUCCUGGCAGGUCGGGUAGUGGGUAAAACAGGAAUAUAAGUUGGCCGGCUAAUGUGAGGUUGUGCGUCUGAGCCGGACUUCCACGUGUUUAUUACUAGGACUCGCUAGGGACCUCACUACUUUCUGGAGCCAAAUGCCUGCCAGGGAUGAGGUUCUCUC
Molecule: non-coding RNA, 214 nt
Organism: Pelobates cultripes (western spadefoot toad)
Lineage: Eukaryota; Metazoa; Chordata; Amphibia; Anura; Pelobatidae
Source: the annotation of a GenBank genome assembly